AGAGUUUGAUCCUGGCUCAGGAUGAACGCUAGCGGCAGGCCUAAUACAUGCAAGUCGAACGGUAAAAGUCCCCUUCGGGGGAUUGAGAGUGGCGCACGGGUGCGUAACGCGUAUGCAACCAACCCUCGUCCGGGGGACAGCCCGGUGGAAACGCCGGGUAAUACCCCAUGCCGACCUUAGGGGCAUCCCCUGGGGUUGAAAGAUUUCGGUCGGACGGGACGGGCAUGCGUCCCAUUAGCUAGUUGGCGGGGCGACGGGCCCACCAAGGCGACGAUGGUAGGGGAUCUGAGAGGACGGUCCCCCACACUGGUACUGAGACACGGACCAGACUCCUACGGGAGGCAGCAGUAAGGAAUAUUGGGCAAUGGGGGAACCCUGACCCAGCCAUGCCGCGUGAGGGAAGUAGGCCCUACGGGUCGUGAACCUCUUUUGUCGGGGACAACCCGCGCCACGUGAUGGCGCGCUGCGGGUACCCGGCGAAUAAGCAUCGGCUAACUCCGUGCC
This 504-nucleotide ribosomal RNA is filed under the name uncultured bacterium. Its description in RNAcentral is "bacterial SSU rRNA". It matches the Rfam family "Bacterial small subunit ribosomal RNA", at positions 8 to 509 of the family's 1533-position model. The record is from RNAcentral.